UGGAAUCUGAAGGUAAACGGUUGAAACAAACUGGCCAACUCGUCGACCCACGCGGCUGCCGUCGAUUCGGCAGCUUUCACACCAUGAGACCACACAGUGGGACGACCUGGGAAAGGAGUGAAACCUGAGAGACGCACCGGCUGUGGAGGCGAUCUGACACAGAUUAUGGAGCAGUAACUACUCACACCUACGAAAACACAAGCGAGGACCUGACAGGAAACCAGAGGGGGGAGGUGGGGAUUAUCUCUUUAGGAAAUCAUAACUAAUAUCUCACCGUAAUCUCUCACAUUCAGGACAGUUGUCAAAAUUCUCCUUCAUAUUUAUGUCAUAAAUAGCACAGUUGUCUCCGGUGUUCUAAGACUUCCUGAUCUACAAGGCUUGGAAGCCGCUGCUCCUCAUUGACAGAUUUGCUCUAAAAAAACAUUGAUGAAGACAUGAUGAAACGACCCCACGCCGAUCAGGUGGUCGGGUUCAUGUCAGGUACAAAGCGACUUGGUGGAAGUGGUGCUGAUGAAGGCGACCAAGUCACUGGACCUCCACCUUUCAAAAGUCCAGGGUCACCUGGACUCACCGGGUCGGCCCGGUUCAUGGAAGCAGCAGGUGCUCCUGGCAGUUCUUCCUGUGCCUUGAAGGAGGUUUAUCGCUAAAUCCCUGAACAGAGAGGGACACCAGAUAUACAAGAUGGUGCUCCGGAAUGACGUGCUGAAAGCCAAGAAGGUGUGCGAGUGUGUGUGUGCCUGUGUGUGUAUUUAAGUCUCUUAGCUUGCAAUAACGCUAUAAAGAAGUACCUCCGUUUUUAUGAGACUUUGGGAUUGUGCGUGAAUGUGUGUCCACAUAAUAACAAAAACAGACCGUCUUUAACGUGUCCUUCAUGCAGACAUCUGGUCAAAUGUCAAACCAUACCUUCACUCCAUGUGUUCUUGCGUUUGUCUUCACCCGCUUCUUCAUCUUCAGGUGGAGUCGUGCAGCCGGGGCUGCGUGACGUGUGUGAUGUUUAGCCUGCAGAGUGCCAAUGUGUGUGCGUCGCAGCCCGUCAAUCAGGCUUCCACCAGAGUUGUGUGUUCGCCACCAGGGGAUUGUGGACAAAAGGAUCAGUGUUCAGGUGUAAUUGUGUAAUUUGCCUCAUUUGCACCUUGACUUUAGAGCGCACGUCCUCCUGCACGCUGAGGGACGAUACGAACCUUCAUGUCUGGGAAAACCAUUCAAAGCUUAUUGUAGAAUAAUAAUAAUACAAAACAUCUGUUGGAAAAAGGUUUUCUCUUUCUGCUGCGCUGAAAAAACGAUCCAACUCGACAGGUCAUCCAAGUCUAAUGGUUUUUAAAAGAUGAUCCCUAAAGACCCACUGGGAACCAGCUGAAUGAUGUCACACUUCCGUCCAUCGCUGGAUGUGUUCUCGUGCACCGCCGACUGUGAGCCCGUUUACCCGACGACUGCCUUUUACCUUCCUGGUUCUGUUUGGUCGUUGCCAGGAAACCAACAACACAAUACGUGGGGGGAAAGCGGGCCUACGCUCAUGGUGCAGCUGCCCGUAUUUAUGCGAAUGCAAAGAGGAAGCAGGUCAUGUUUGGGACAGUCAUGCACACAUUGGCUUAAAGCCACAACGCACCUGUAUUUGUUGGACCCGUUGCUCUCCUCUCCCGCCCAGCAUACGGUGUUUUGGGGUAUUAAACACCAAGACAAGCUCACACUGUUGCUUAGUCAUGUGGAUGAAUGGAAUCUGUGUUGACCCCCCCAAAAAAAAGGAUCCAUUCUUUUUUUUUUCCAGCCAGAUCCCCGGUGAAAGAACUCCUGCCCCUCUGCGCGGACAAGUGAGACGGUUUGGGCUCCGAUUCACGCCGCAAACGGCGCACACAGCGACAGCGACGGAGCACCGGCCGGCACCGGCUUCUCGAAGCGUUGGCGUUAUACAGGGAGCAGGCGUGUUCCUCUGCUGGCUGAAAGGAAUCCCUUCUUUGGAAGAGUGCGUCGAGUGUAACGGUCCCCACCGAGCCCGACAGGUGCUCAGCUGCUGAUGAAGUGAAUUUCAUUUGAAACACAUAAUAAAUUCACCGUUUAAAGGUUAUAUUCUCACUCCA
Long non-coding RNA from Gasterosteus aculeatus aculeatus (three-spined stickleback), 2075 nucleotides. The record is from Ensembl. NCBI's taxonomy places the organism in Eukaryota, Metazoa, Chordata, Actinopteri, Perciformes, Gasterosteidae.